Molecule: ribosomal RNA, 305 nt
Filed under: uncultured bacterium
Lineage: Bacteria
Description: partial 16S ribosomal RNA
Rfam family: Bacterial small subunit ribosomal RNA
Source: RNAcentral
ACAGCAGCAGCCACGGUAAUACGUAGGUCCCGAGCGUUGUCCGGAUUUAUUGGGCGUAAAGCGAGCGCAGGCGGUUAGAUGAGUCUGAAGUUAAAGGCUGUGGCUUAACCAUAGUACGCUUUGGAAACUGUUUAACUUGAGUGCAAGAGGGGAGAGUGGAAUUCCAUGUGUAGCGGUGAAAUGCGUAGAUAUAUGGAGGAACACCGGUGGCGAAAGCGGCUCUCUGGCUUGUAACUGACGCUGAGGCUCGAAAGCGUGGGGAGCAAACAGGAUUAGAUACCCCUGUAGUCCCUGUCUCUUAUACC